Molecule: unclassified non-coding RNA, 253 nt
Filed under: Hevea brasiliensis (rubber tree)
Lineage: Eukaryota; Viridiplantae; Streptophyta; Magnoliopsida; Malpighiales; Euphorbiaceae
Source: RNAcentral
GACCUCGUCGACCGAAAUCGUGAGGCCGGUUCUGCAAACACUCUGCCCCGGAAGGGCGAGCACGCGCUUCAGCAUGGGCACGCCAAUGGGCAAAUAGCCGUUCAAAUCGAGGAAGGUCGCGAGCGGCUCCGGCNACGGCGACCAAUUCAGUAACUUGGAAUUGGUCCGCCGGUCGGAGGCGGUAGAGACCGAUCGGCACGCUCGCGGAUGCGUUCCAGAUGUAUAGCGGAAUCGGCUCCAGGACGAUCGUCGC